RNAcentral lists this ribosomal RNA (440 nucleotides) under uncultured Bacillota bacterium. RNAcentral describes it as "bacterial SSU rRNA". It matches the Rfam family "Bacterial small subunit ribosomal RNA", at positions 338 to 795 of the family's 1533-position model. Lineage: Bacteria; Bacillati; Bacillota. The record is from RNAcentral.
CCUACGGGUGGCUGCAGUAGGGAAUUUUCCGCAAUGGGCGAAAGCCUGACGGAGCAACGCCGCGUGAGGGAAGAAGGUCUUCGGAUCGUAAACCUCUGUCUUCAGGGACGAUGAUGACGGUACCUGAGGAGGAAGCCACGGCUAACUACGUGCCAGCAGCCGCGGUAAUACGUAGGUGGCGAGCGUUGUCCGGAAUUACUGGGCGUAAAGGGCGUGUAGGCGGCCAUUUAAGUCAGAUGUGAAAUACCAUGGCUUAACCAUGGGACUGCAUUUGAGACUGGAUGGCUUGAGGAUCGGAGAGGGCAGUGGAAUUCCCAGUGUAGCGGUGAAAUGCGUAGAUAUUGGGAGGAACACCAGUGGCGAAGGCGACUGCCUGGACGACACCUGACGCUGAGGCGCGAAAGCUAGGGGAGCAAACGGGCUUAGAUACCCCGGUAGUC